GACGAACGCUGGCGGCGUGCUUAACACAUGCAAGUCGAACGGAAAGGCCCUGCUUUUGUGGGGUGCUCGAGUGGCGAACGGGUGAGUAACACGUGAGUAACCUGCCCUUUACUUUGGGAUAACUUCAGGAAACUGGGGCUAAUACCUGAUAGGAGCUCCUGCUGCAUGGUGGGGGUUGGAACGUUUCGUCGGUUGGGGAUGGACUCCCGGCUUAUCAGCUUGUUGGUGGGGUAGUGGCUUACCAAGGCUUUGACGGGUAGCCGGCCUGAGAGGGUGACCGGCGACAUUGGGACUGAGAUACGGCGCAGACUCCUACGGGAGGCAGCAGUGGGGAAUAUUGCACAAUGGGCGGAAGCCUGAUGAAGCAACGCGGCGUGCGGGAUGACGGCCUUCGGGUUGUAAACCGCUGUCGCCUGUGACGAAGCGUGAGUGACGGUAAUGGGUAAAGAAGCACCGGCUAACUACGUG
Molecule: ribosomal RNA, 468 nt
Filed under: uncultured bacterium
Lineage: Bacteria
Description: partial 16S ribosomal RNA
Rfam family: Bacterial small subunit ribosomal RNA
Source: RNAcentral